This 321-nucleotide long non-coding RNA is filed under the name Equus caballus (horse). Its description in RNAcentral is "lncRNA (ENSECAG00000054436.1)". Lineage: Eukaryota; Metazoa; Chordata; Mammalia; Perissodactyla; Equidae. The record is from RNAcentral.
CAGGCCUCAGAGUACAAGAUGAAUCAUUCAGAACCAGGACACUGACUUUCUGCUUCAAAAAAUUACUCUUCAUCAACAGUAACCUGGCAACUGCACUUGCUCGCCACCACAAGAGAAUGAAAGACAUGCCAGGAAUGUGCAAGCUAAAUGUACACAACCGUACACCAGCCCCUGAGUUAUUUAUGCUGCACAUAUUCCAGCCACCAGCAGAAAGAGAGCGGCAUUUACAAAUCUGAAUUUCAAAUUGCUAAGAGGCAUUUGAUUGCCCAGCUUGGAUCAGGUGGUCCAGUCAGCAGACACGAUGCAGAAGUCAACAGGUAG